This 460-nucleotide ribosomal RNA is filed under the name uncultured bacterium. RNAcentral describes it as "partial 16S ribosomal RNA". It matches the Rfam family "Bacterial small subunit ribosomal RNA", at positions 338 to 795 of the family's 1533-position model. The record is from RNAcentral.
CCUACGGGAGGCAGCAGUGAGGAAUAUUGGUCAAUGGCCGGAAGGCUGAACCAGCCAUGCCGCGUGAAGGUCAGUGCCCUAUGGGCGUUAAACUUCUUUUGUGCGGGAGCAAUAAUGGUCACGUGUGGCCAGACGAGAGUACCGUACGAAUAAGCAUCGGCUAACUCCGUGCCAGCAGCCGCGGUAAUACGGGGGAUGCAAGCGUUAUCCGGAUUUAUUGGGUUUAAAGGGUGCGUAGGCUGUGCGGUAAGUCAGCGGUGAAAUGCCCCCGCUCAACGGGGUGAAGUGCCAUUGAUACUGCCUGGCUGGAAUGCGGAUGACGUAGGAGGAAUGUGUGGUGUAGCGGUGAAAUGCAUAGAUAUCACACAGAACACCGAUUGCGAAGGCAUCUCACGAAUCCGCGAUUGACGCUGAUGCACGAAAGCGUGGGUAUCAAACAGGAUUAGAUACCCGAGUAGUC